This 393-nucleotide ribosomal RNA is filed under the name uncultured bacterium. RNAcentral's name for it is "partial 16S ribosomal RNA". It matches the Rfam family "Bacterial small subunit ribosomal RNA", at positions 523 to 918 of the family's 1533-position model. The record is from RNAcentral.
AUACGGAGGAUCCGAGCGUUAUCCGGAUUUAUUGGGUUUAAAGGGUGCGCAGGCGGAUUGUUAAGUCAGUUGUGAAAGUUUGCGGUUCAACCGGAAAAUUGCAGUUGAAACUGGCAGUCUUGAGUACAGUAGUGGUGGGCGGAAUUCGUGGUGUAGAGGUGAAAUGCUUAGAUAUCACGAAGAAUUACGAUUUCGAAGGAGGUUCACGAUACUGGUACUGACGCUGAUGCCCGAAAGUUUUGUUAUCAAACAGUAUUAUAUACCCUUGUAGGCCACACACUAAACGAUAAAUUCUCGCUGUUUACGAUAUGCAGGAAUCGGCCAAGCGAAAGCGUUAAGUAUUCCACCCUGGGAGCAAGCCGGCAACGGUGGAACCCAAAAGAAUUUACAUGU